RNAcentral lists this microRNA (22 nucleotides) under Monodelphis domestica (gray short-tailed opossum). Its description in RNAcentral is "mdo-miR-7371o-5p". The record is from miRBase by way of RNAcentral. Lineage: Eukaryota; Metazoa; Chordata; Mammalia; Didelphimorphia; Didelphidae.
AGUUGUACCAGAUGUUACCUUU